Molecule: long non-coding RNA, 396 nt
Organism: Rhipicephalus sanguineus (brown dog tick)
Lineage: Eukaryota; Metazoa; Arthropoda; Arachnida; Ixodida; Ixodidae
Exons: 3
Source: RefSeq, a predicted model, not a curated record
ACUGCCCUAGCGGAGAGAAGUUUUCCUGCUUCGAAUUGCUCAUGCACAUGUGCCACGACAUCUAACCCCUGCGAAGAACUCCGAGAUAGCACUUGUCCAGAAGGCUACUUCCGCAGAUGCAGUAGUGACAUGCACGGAUGUACUUGCCGAUGUGAUAUUUAAUAGAAACCUGCACCAUGGCAAGCUGCGGUCGUCUUCAAGAUAUCAUUUCGCUUCUACAAAGAAAGUGUUUCGAGUAGCUGAAUUUAGUGCCGCCUUGAUUUCACUCUUAUUUGGUUCUUGUGAAAAAUGAUAUUUUCAUUACCUGUGGCUCCUCAUAAGCAGUUGAGUUUUUUUUACAAGGACAAAAUAGAUUUAUUCUGUUUGACUAAUGGGCCAGUGAAAUGCACUAAAAGC